GAUGAACGCUGGCGGCGUGCCUAAUACAUGCAAGUCGAGCGAACAGACGAGGAGCUUGCUCCUCUGACGUUAGCGGCGGACGGGUGAGUAACACGUGGAUAACCUACCUAUAAGACUGGGAUAACUUCGGGAAACCGGAGCUCAUACCGGAUAAUAUAUUGAACCGCAUGGUUCAAUAGUGAAAGACGGUUUUGCUGUCACUGAUAGAUGGAUCCGCGCCGCAUUAGCUAGUUGGUAAGGUAACGGCUUACCAAGGCAACGAUGCGUAGCCGACCUGAGAGGGUGAUCGGCCACACUGGAACUGAGACACGGUCCAGACUCCUACGGGAGGCAGCAGUAGGGAAUCUUCCGCAAUGGGCGAAAGCCUGACGGAGCAACGCCGCGUGAGUGAUGAAGGUCUUCGGAUCGUAAAACUCUGUUAUUAGGGAAGAACAAAUGUGUAAGUAACUAUGCACGUCUUGACGGUACCUAAUCAGAAAGCAACGGCUAACUACGUG
This 497-nucleotide ribosomal RNA is filed under the name uncultured bacterium. RNAcentral describes it as "partial 16S ribosomal RNA". It matches the Rfam family "Bacterial small subunit ribosomal RNA", at positions 28 to 507 of the family's 1533-position model. The record is from RNAcentral.